UAGAGUUUGUUCAUGGCUCAGAACGAACGCUGGCGGCGUGCCUAACACAUGCAAGUCGAGCGCGAAUAGGGGCAACCCUUAGUAGAGCGGCGCACGGGUGCGUAACACGUGGAUAAUCUGCCUGGAUGCCUGGGAUAACCAGUCGAAAGAUUGGCUAAUACCGGAUAAGCCCACGGUUUCUUCGGAGACUGAGGGAAAAGGUGGCCUCUGUAUACAAGCUAUCACAACCAGAUGAGUCCGCGGCCCAUCAGCUAGUUGGCGGGGUAAUGGCCCACCAAGGCAACGACGGGUAGCUGGUCUGAGAGGACGAUCAGCCACACUGGAACUGAGACACGGUCCAGACUCCUACGGGAGGCAGCAGUGGGGAAUUUUGCGCAAUGGGCGAAAGCCUGACGCAGCAACGCCGCGUGUGUGAUGAAGGUCUUUGGAUUGUAAAGCACUUUCGACCGGGACGAAACCGUAAAGCCUAAUACGCUUUGCCUUGACGGUACCGGGAGAAGAAGCACCGGCUAACUCUGUGCCAGCAGCCGCGGUAAUACAGAGGGUGCAAGCGUUGUUCGGAAUUAUUGGGCGUAAAGCGCGUGUAGGCGGCUUUGCAAGUCGGGUGUGAAAGCCCUCAGCUCAACUGAGGAAGUGCGCCCGAAACUGCAGAGCUUGAGUGCCGGAGAGGGUGGCGGAAUUCCCCAAGUAGAGGUGAAAUUCGUAGAUAUGGGGAGGAACACCGGUGGCGAAGGCGGCCACCUGGACGGUAACUGACGCUGAGACGCGAAAGCGUGGGUAGCAAACAGGAUUAGAUACCCUGGUAGUCCACGCCGUAAACGAUGAGAACUAGGUGUCGUGGGAGUUGACCCCCGCGGUGCCGUAGCUAACGCAUUAAGUUCUCCGCCUGGGAAGUACGGUCGCAAGACUUAAACUCAAAGGAAUUGACGGGGGCCCGCACAAGCGGUGGAGCAUGUGUUUAAUUUCGACGCAACGCGCAGAACCUUACCUGGUCUUGACAUCCUCGGAAUCCUUCAGAGAUGAGGGAGUGCCCGGCAAGGGAACCGAGAGACAGGUGCUGCAUGGGCUG
Molecule: ribosomal RNA, 1069 nt
Filed under: Corallococcus exiguus
Lineage: Bacteria; Pseudomonadati; Myxococcota; Myxococcia; Myxococcales; Myxococcaceae
Description: bacterial SSU rRNA
Rfam family: Bacterial small subunit ribosomal RNA
Source: RNAcentral